Molecule: small RNA, 1626 nt
Filed under: Flock House virus
Lineage: Riboviria; Orthornavirae; Kitrinoviricota; Magsaviricetes; Nodamuvirales; Nodaviridae
Description: partial defective interfering RNA R1DI-1626
Source: RNAcentral
GUUUUCGAAACAAAUAAAACAGAAAAGCGAACCUACACAAUGACUCUAAAAGUUAUUCUUGGAGAACACCAGAUCACCCGAACUGAAUUGUUAGGCGGGAUUGCAACCGUAUCUGGGUGCGGUGCCGUAGUGUACUGCGUAUCCAAGUUCUGGGGCUAUGGGGCAAUUGCGCCCUAUCCUCAGAGUGGAGGGAACCGAGUUACACGCGCAUUGCAACGGGCUGUCAUUGACAAAACGAAAACCCCGAUAGAGACACGUUUCUAUCCGCUUGACAGCCUGCGUACCGUGACGCCUAAGCGUGUCGCAGACAAUCUGUCAACGCUAGGCUUAUCGGUAUGGGACACAAGGACCCGCAAUACCAAUUAGUCCAACUGUGUAUAAACCUACAAUGCCACGCGUCCAUUGGCCAGUAACCAGUGACGCAGAUGUACCAGAGGUGAGCGCGCGCCAAUACACACUGCCUAUCGUGAGUGACGGUUUCCGAUAUGAGCCUGGUGUAGGCGUUAAAAGUGGAAGUCCAACAACCACGCCACAUAACACCCAAUACAAUGGAUGUGUCGAAUUUACAGCUCUGACCUUUGAGCAUCCUGAUGCUGAACCUGAAGAUUUGUUCCGUUUAAUCGGACCGAAGUGCGGUGAUGAUGGUCUUUCCCGGGCUAUCAUUCAAAAAUCAAUUAAUCGCGCUGCCAAGUGUUUCGGCCUCGAACUCAAAGUUGAACGAUACAAUCCAGAGAUAGGUCUUUGUUUCCUGUCUCGUGUAUUUGUGGACCCGCUCGCAACUACGACCACAAUUCAAGACCCACUGCGUACUCUGCGAAAACUACAUCUUACAACAAGAGAUCCAACGAUACCAUUAGCUGAUGCGGCUUGCGACCGUGUCGAAGGCUAUCUCUGUACCGAUGCGCUUACUCCGUUAAUUUCGGAUUAUUGCAAAAUGGUACUACGACUCUACGGGCCCACUGCUUCAACUGAGCAGGUGAGGAACCAACGUAGAAGCCGGAAUAAAGAGAAGCCCUACUGGUUGACUUGUGACGGAUCAUGGCCACAGCAUCCGCAAGACGCCCAUUUGAUGAAGCAGGUUUUAAUCAAACGUAUUGACGAAGAUCAGGUCGAUGCACUCAUUGGGCGUUUUGCCGCAAUGAAGGAUGUCUGGGAGAAAAUUACACAUGACAGCGAGGAGAGCGCCACUGCGUGUACGUUUGAUGAAGACGGCGUUGCGCCGAGCUCCGUGGAUGAAUCGUUACCAAUGUUAAACGAUGCCAAGCAAACUCGCGCUAAUCCAGGAACUUCCCGACCGCAUUCAAACGGCGGUGGAAGCAGCCAUGGGAAUGAGCUACCAAGACGCACCGAACAACGUGCGCAGGGACCUCGACAACCUGCACGCUUGCCUAAACAAGGCAAAACUAACGGUAAGUCGGAUGGUAACAUCACUGCUGGAGAAACCCAGCGUGGUGGCAUACCUAGAGGGAAAGGCCCCCGAGGAGGCAAAACCAACACUCGAAGAACGCCUCCGAAAGCUGGAGCUCAGCCACAGCCUUCCAACAACCGGAAGUGACCCCCCACCCGCAAAACUGUAGGUGGCUCUUAGGAGCACCCACACCCGUUCUAGCCCGAAAGGGCAGAGGU